Panthera uncia (snow leopard) is the source of this 4771-nucleotide long non-coding RNA. RefSeq lists it as uncharacterized. The transcript has 2 exons. NCBI's taxonomy places the organism in Eukaryota, Metazoa, Chordata, Mammalia, Carnivora, Felidae. The record is from RefSeq and is a predicted model, not a curated record.
AUACCAAAACUGUCUUUUUGACCCAGCCAUGAAUAUCUACCCAACCCCAGAUUUAUGUGUUUGGCUGAAAAUGACAGAGCAGGCAAAGACCAGCCAGUCAGCUGCAGAGGAGCGCCCUUGUCUGAAGAUGUGUGUUAUUUAUACCACUUUAGACUCUGCACAUAAAUACACUAAUAAUCACUGUGAGAAGACAGCUUGGCUUUUUGGAGGACAAAUGCUGUGGGGUGGUAGAAGACUGAGGACCCCAAUCCUGGCCCUGGCAUUUAGUGGGUGAGUCUUGCUGCUUUCCCUUGUCUCUGUGGGCUUCGGUCUUUCCAUCUGUAAAUAUAUGAUGGCAAUACCUGCUGUGCUGUAUGGCUGUGCUGAGGAUAAAAUGAUAUCAUACUUUGUAACCUUUUAGACUCAAUGCAGGUGAAGAUGAUGCAGUCUUAGGACCUUAGCUAAGUGCUUUACACUCACUGCUCUUGAGGUAAAAUUAAAACAAAAUACUAGGUAAUGCCAAAAAAAAAAAAAGUCACUGUGUUAGCCUGUUUGUAUAAAGAUUAUUAAGGGAAGAAAUGUACUUGGAUUUUUUUUUCUAGGACAGGGGUUACUAUCAUUCAUUUAUAGUAUGUAUCUGUAAGAUAUUUGAUAAGAAGAUAGCCACUGUAUAGACUGUCUCCCUGUAUAUUAGAAAAACCAUUAAAGCUAUUUUGAAAGCACAAAUAAAAACUUCCAUUUCAAAAAAAGAGUGGGGGGGGGGUGCAGAUUACAUUAUCUGACCUGUCUCCUGCUACAAAAUACCUAGCAGUGCUGAAAACCUAGAACAUCCUUUUAGUCAUCAUCUGACUUCCAAGAAAGUAAGAGCCAUCUCUGGGGUUAAGAAUUGAAGGGAAUGUGAACACCAAAAUGGUAAGCGUGAGCUAAUAUUGCAACUGCCUGGAUAAGAAAAGAGGAGUCAGAAGGUGGGAGAUUGCCAAUUUUAUUAGGCAAGAGGACACCUCUCUCUCUCUCUCUCUCUCUCUCUCUCUCUGUCUCUAAAAAUUUCACAUACACACAUAGGAUACUAUGAGUCCCCCGCAUACCUACCAACAAGUCUCAACAGAUUCAAUCAAGAUUCUGUAGCACUACAUUUAUAUUUCCUUUGCUGAAAUAUUUUACCCCGAAUCCCAAACAUCAUGUCAUUUCACUCCCCAUGCCUCCAGCAGACAUGAUGUGCCCCCGAUGUGGAGCACUGAGAAGUACACAGAACUACCUAUGAAGUAUUCUUUCCAAAUAAACACACAAAAUCGAACCGAAAUCUAUAUUUAACCAUUGCUUUAGGGAGACAGAGGAACCAGGAAACAUCUAAGCUUUGGGAUACUGAUCUGCAUAACUCAGACCACAAGAGACUGAUGCCAAUAUAUGAAUUUAUGUUGCUCAGAGCUGCUCAGACACUUUCUAAUAAAUGGAAUAUUCACAUAGUUGCUUUUGGGAAAGCCCUCCUUCUGCCUUUUCUGUCAACCAGGUAUCCGAGAAACUCUCAGACUUCAGAAUGCUGCUUGGUGAAUAUAAAACGAGAACAUAGUGGCUGUUGUUGAGGGUAUUUGACCUUGGGUACAACAGAGAUUUAUGAAUUAAUUUUGUUUCACUCCAGGGACUUUCAUUCUAAUAUUGAAUGACUACAUCCACAAGAAUCAUGCCCUGAAAUAUGUUUUUAGAUUUGUGUAUGCCCUUAAAAAUACGCGAUUUUUUGUGUUUAUGCUCACGUAUCCUUAAUUUACAUAAAUGUCAUUAUAGAUCUCAUUUUGUUUGUAUCAUUGAAAAAUGUAUAGUGCUACCUAGUAGAUAUAUUUAAUAAUGACAACAAAAUAACAACUUAUGGAAAACCUACCUUGUAUUGGGCACUUUUGUGGCUGCUGGGGAUGUGGUCAUUUUGUAAACAUGUUUUGAAUGUAUGUAAAUGACACUACACUAUAUAUCCCAAUUUGCUUCUUGCUGUCGUUAAUCAGUACUACCUUAUUAAGCUCCAACCAGGCUGAGUGUGCACCAUUUUAUUAUUCUGAUUGCCACGUCAAAUGCCCAUAUCAACCCUCCUUGUGCUAGAAACUUGUAUAGCCUGCACUCAUCACUACCACAAAUAACACUGGGACAAAUAUCCUUGAACACAUUCUAUUAUAAUCAGAAUUUAUCUGGGUUAUUUGCCCAGUUGUGGGACUCAAUAAAUGCCGCCAGACUCUUCCUGGGAUUGUCUGCACCCAUUUCAUGAAAGUUUCUCUAUCUCGAGACGCCUGCCUGGCUAAUUCAGUGAAGCAUGCAACGCUUGAUCUCAGGGCUGUGAGUUCGAGCCCCACGUUGGGUGUAGAGAUUGCUUAAAAAUAAAAUCUUAAAAAAAGAGAGAGAGAGAAAGUUCCUAUUUAUUCAACUUUCAACAAUAAUUGGCAUUAUUCAAUUUCGUAUUUUCUCCCAAUCUGAUGGAUGAAAUGUGGGAUCUCAUUAUUGUCUUCAUUGCUAUUUCUUUUAUUUCUCGUGUGACUGUUACCUUGGAUUUGGGUUUCCUUUAGUAUGAAUUGUAUCUUCAUAUCUAACAGCCACAUUUUUAUCUAGAUCUCCUACUUUUUUCUCCUUUGAAAGAGAUCAAUUCUCAAGUCAAUAUGUUUCGUGUAAUUUCAAUCCAAAUUCCAGCAUGAGUUUGCCUUGUGUUAAAGCUGUUCUGUAUGUCAUAUUUCUCCCCCUCAAGCUCCUGGAGGGUAGAGUUGCUAUUAUUUUUGGAUACCCCACGACAUUCAGCCUCAGCCCUGCUCAGAGCAAGCCUCAACCAGUGCUUGCUGACUACGAGCUGAGGGUAGGGGGAGGAGGAUGCCACUUAGCAAGUGGCCACUUUGCAGAAGGCAGAGGCCAGGCAUGGUGGUUGAGCUGGCUGGCCAGCCAAGCAAGACCAGGGGAAAGGGGGAUGGGAAGCAAGAGUGGGGACAUAAGAGUUCUGUUCCAAGGGGCCAAGACAAGUGCCUUUUGCAAUCCCAUUUCUAAAAACACAAAUAAAAAAAAAACAAUGGAAACAACAAAAAUAUACCUGUAACUUUUUUAUUUAAAAAUAUUCCACCUACACGAUCUCACGGUUUGUGAGUUCGAGCCCCUCCUCGGGCCCCUUGCUGACAGUGCUUGAGAUUCUCUCUGCCUCUCCCUGACUCAUGCAUGUGCGUGCACUCUCUCUCUCAAUAAAUAAAUAAACUUAAAAAAAAUAUUCCACCUAGGAGCUUCAUUUUUCUAUAGUUCUGAGGGUCUAGGCGAAGUUCAGUCUUGAAGCUUCUGUGUCCUGUGGCCGAUGACGAUCUUUGACAAUCUUACAUUGAGUCCUGUUCUAGCCGACGAGGAUGGUAAGAUCGUUCCCUAGAAACAGCAGGCAGCAUGGAGAACUUGAGAAGAGGCUGUCCUUGCUCAGCACCUGUUACCCAGAUUGCACACUAUCUCUUCUGGAGCUCGAUCUUUAUUCUGCAAGUUGAUGAUUUGGACUCAGUGUAAUGAGUUGCAGAAGACUUCAGAGUUUCUACAGGUAAGUGCUGCAGAAAGACAGUGAUUCUGUCGGUGCUGAAUGAAGGCACAGGGUUUCACUUAGCUGGCAUGCCGUGCUGAAUUAGUUGGACAGCAUUUCUUUCAGCACAAGGCUGGUUCAACCCACCCAGUUCUGAGAUCAUAGGAAUUACCUGAAAUUGUAUUUAUUUGCUUAAGGGCGUAUGUCUUGCUUUCCCAGAUAGAGUAUAAGCCGCCUGAGGAUAUAAACCAUAGAUGAUACCUGUUUGCUUCUCGCAGAGAGCUAUUCUGAUAAUUAAGCCCUUGAUAAUUAUGUGUUAAAUGUACUAAUGAAUGAGUUCAUUAGAAGGAGUGAUUGAGGCCAGAUAGUCAAUCUCCUUGCCCCAACUCUCUGGGAUUGUAUACGGACGGGCACCUGGUCUAGCAGGCACAUUGACCUAGUAUUUGGGGAUGGUGGAAUCCACGGGGAGUAAUAUUACUUCGUAGAUAUGCAGAGAAAGGCACCAUGUAGGAGGAGGAGAGAGAUUAAACCAAAGAAGUAUGAACUCCACCUUAGGAGGGACGGGUUGAGUGCACAGUGUGCUGGGUUGCUCGGGGCCCCGGUUAUCUCUGUGUUGGAUGACUGGGUCCAUUUCCUCAAGCCCCUAGGAGCAGAGCCGCGGCACGGUCGGACCAUCGGCCGUGUGCUAGUGUAGACGGGGGCGCCUCUUGCUGUGAUGGUCCCACUGUCUUGAAGCUCUGCCUUCCCUGAGUCCUGGUGCUCAGUUUUCCUUGGUUGGCUGCCAUACCGAUUUGUAUCCUUGAAAUGCAUCCCUUUACACUUUUCCCUUAUUCUUUCUAAAACCUGCUGCUCCGAAAGGGCUUCCGAUCUCUACAAGCAAACGAGCCACAUCGGAAGCACUCCCCUCGAUGUCGAUUUCGUAUCUUGGGCACUCCAUGGGCAAACGGCACACCCCCCUAUCCCCGCCUGGCCACUUCUGCAGAUGGUGACCCCGCGGGUGGUCGGGAGGCAUGAAUGCCUCAGAGCAUCUCAGCAGGAGGAGGCUUGUCGCAAACAGAUCUGAGAAGGCCCAGAAUAGAAAGGAUCCAAAGGGAGAGCAGGGCAACCUGCCGUUCCCCAGGGUUGUGGCCACUUGGCAUCGGCUGAUACCUCCCAUCCAACUGACCACACACGGUGGCCUUCGCUCCUGUGACAGCAAUGAUUCUAGCCAACCGGAUGUGGCUGCAGCAGGGUCAAAGAAUUCCAGAACUGGAAUAAAUUUUACACGUCUCUUAAUUCCCA